UGGGGAAUUUUGGACAAUGGGCGAAAGCCUGAUCCAGCAAUGCCGCGUGUGUGAAGAAGGCCUUCGGGUUGUAAAGCACUUUUGUCCGAAAAGAAAUCCUUGGCUCUAAUACAGUCGGGGGAUGACGGUACCGGAAGAAUAAGCACCGGCUAACUACGUGCCAGCAGCCGCGGUAAUACGUAGGGUGCAAGCGUUAAUCGGAAUUACUGGGCGUAAAGCGUGCGCAGGCGGUUUGCUAAGACCGAUGUGAAAUCCCCGGGCUCAACCUGGGAACUGCAUUGGUGACUGGCAGGCUAGAGUAUGGCAGAGGGGGGUAGAAUUCCACGUGUAGCAGUGAAAUGCGUAGAGAUGUGGAGGAAUACCGAUGGCGAAGGCAGCCCCCUGGGCCAAUACUGACGCUCAUGCACGAAAGCGUGGGGGAGCAAACAGGAUUAGAUACCCUGGUAGUCCACGCCCUAAACGAUGUCAACUAGUUGUUGGGGAUUCAUUUCCUUAGUAACGUAGCUAACGCGUGAAGUUGACCGCCUGGGGAGUACGGUCGCAAGAUUAAAACUCAAAUGAAUUGACGGGGUCAUAGCUGUUUCCU
This 586-nucleotide ribosomal RNA is filed under the name uncultured bacterium. Its description in RNAcentral is "partial 16S ribosomal RNA". It matches the Rfam family "Bacterial small subunit ribosomal RNA", at positions 355 to 1375 of the family's 1533-position model. The record is from RNAcentral.